GAUGAACGCUGGCGGCGUGCCUAAUACAUGCAAGUAGAACGCUGAAGGAGGAGCUUGCUCUUCUGGAUGAGUUGCGAACGGGUGAGUAACGCGUAGGUAACCUGCCUGGUAGCGGGGGAUAACUAUUGGAAACGAUAGCUAAUACCGCAUGACAACAGUUAUUGCAUGAUAACUGUUUAAAAGGGGCAACUGCUCCACUACCAGAUGGACCUGCGUUGUAUUAGCUAGUUGGUGAGGUAACGGCUCACCAAGGCGACGAUACAUAGCCGACCUGAGAGGGUGAUCGGCCACACUGGGACUGAGGCACGGCCCAGACUCCUACGGGAGGCAGCAGUAGGGAAUCUUCGGCAAUGGACGGAAGUCUGACCGAGCAACGCCGCGUGAGUGAAGAAGGUUUUCGGAUCGUAAAGCUCUGUUGUAAGAGAAGAACGAGUGUGAGAGUGGAAAGUUCACACUGUGACGGUAUCUUACCAGAAAGGGACGGCUAACUACGUG
Molecule: ribosomal RNA, 495 nt
Filed under: uncultured bacterium
Lineage: Bacteria
Description: partial 16S ribosomal RNA
Rfam family: Bacterial small subunit ribosomal RNA
Source: RNAcentral